AUGGUUGUUGGAUCUAAGUACCCCACUUUUAUCCCAUGAUUCCUGAAAUAUUCCAUAUUUUCUGCCCAUGGAGUAAGUGCCUCCCGAAGGACUAUGGCAUUUUUUAUUUCGCGAAAAAAAGAAAGUUGGCUACUUCAAUUCAAGGGAAAAAGAACCAAGAACAUGGUGAAAAACUUUAAAUAGCAGAUGAAAAGAGGGGGAAUCGAAAUUCAGGGGGAAAAGAAUAAAGAAAAUGGUGAAAAACUGCAAAUAGCAGAUGAAAAGAUGAGGAUAUAUCGAAAUUCAGGGGAAAAAGAACAAAGAAAAUGGUGAAAAACUGCAGUAGCAGAUGUAAAGAGGAGGGAAAUUUAGGAGAUCUCUCUCUCUGAAAUUUGAGAGAUCUCUCUCUCUAAAAUUUGAGAGAUCUCUCUCUCUAGAGAUCUCUCUCUCUAAAAUCACCAUUCCGAGACUGUAAGUGGAAAAAGCCGUCUCUCUCUCUUGAGCGCAAAGAAUGGUACUUCAUCUUGUGAUUCUUCGAUCCCCUAUUAUUCACCUCUAUUACCAACAAAUCACUCUUAUUUUUUCCUGCAAAAGUUCCCUUUUCAAAGCUAUUAGUACUCUCUGCAAAAAACCAUGUUCAAAACUCUCAUUGCUUUCUCUAACAUCUCAAAAAAUCCAUUUACAAAAUCACCUCUCACUGCUUUAUCUCGCGUAAUCUCUACAAAACCAUGGCUAAAAGCUCUCUCUACUUUCUCUCACUUCCCCCCACCGUUUGCUCAACACAGCGAGGGGGGUUUUCCUGAUAACCCACCAGAUAUUGUGAGAAGAAUGUGUCAUGUAGUUUAUAAAACCUAUGAAGAAGGGGACAAAAGGCUUUGUUCUGUGCCUCUUCUCUCUCCUAAACUGAGUCCAGAACAAGCAGUUACGGUAAUAUUCAUGCUUUCAGAGAAAGGGGGUUCCAUGAUGGCCUUGAGCUUCUUCUAUUGGGCCAUUGGGCACCAAGAAUUCAUGCUCCAUUUGCGCCUGUACAUAACAAUGGCUGCCUCUUUAAUAACUACUGGUAAUUUAGAGAGAGCCCAAGAAGUUAUGAGGUGUAUGGUUAGUAAUUUUGGGAGUGCAGGGAAGAUGAAAGACGCCAUAGACAUGGUUAUUGAGAUGCGGAACCAAGGUCUUCCUCUCAAUCUACACACCAUGAAUUGGAUUCUCAAAGUUGCAGAUAAAUUGGGGUUUGAUGAUUUGGUCAAAUACGCAUUCUCAGAGAUGAGAGACAAUGGGGUCAACCCAACCGUUUGCAGUUUCAAACCCAUAAUUAGGGUUUACUGCAAGGAAGGGAAGAUUGCUGAAUUAGAAAACGUUUUAAGAACUAUGCAGGAGAACAAGUGCUCCUUAGAUGCUGCUUCAUUUACCCUAAUUGUGAAUGCUUACUGUGAAAAUGGCCUGGAGGGUCGAGUUUUCAGGCUUUUCGAGAAGGUUCCAGAGAUGGGUUUAACCCCAAACGUGAUAAACUACACAGCUCUUAUCAAUGGCCUGUGCAUCAGAGGGAGAGUUAAGCAAGCUUUCGAAGUUUUAGAGAGAAUGGUUGCCGAGGGCCACAAACCCAAUGUUUAUACUCACACCACUCUGAUCAAUGGGCUAUGCAAGAAGGGGUGGACAGAGAAAGCCUUUAGAUUGUUCCUGAAACUUGUUAGGAGUGAGAGUUACAAGCCCAAUGUUCAGACCUAUACCUCCAUGAUAGGGGGUUAUUGCAAGGAGAAUAAGAUGGGUCGAGCCGAAAUGCUCUUAGAGAGAAUGAGAGAGCAAGGACUGGUUCCAAACACCAUGACAUAUACUACUUUGAUUGAUGGGUACUGUAAAGGAGGGAAUUUCAGCAGUGCUUAUAGUUUACUGGAAAUUAUGGUCCAGGAAGGCUUCGAUCCAAAUAUAUCUACCUAUAAUGCCAUAAUCAAUGGGCUUCUCAAAAAAGGGAAGGCAGGAGAGGCAUAUAAUCUUCUUGAAGCUGGCCUCAAGCGAGGGCUUAAACCUGAUCAUGUCACCUAUACCAUACUUAUGAGUGAACAAUUGAAGAGAUCUAACACCAGACUUGCUUUGGCCUUGUUUGGUCGAAUGAUUGAAGAGGGUUUUCUACCAGAUAUACACACAUACACAAUGCUAAUCACCUCAUUUUGCAAGGAAAGGAAGGUUAAAAUUAGUGAGAGAAUAUUCGAUGAAGCUCUUAGGAUGGGUUUGGUCCCUAGCAAGGAGACUUAUACUUCUAUGAUAAGUGGAUUUUCUAGAGACGGAAACACAAGCUCUGGAUUGAAGUUUUUUCAGAAGAUGACUGCUAAAGGCUGCUUACCUGAUGCAGUCACUUAUGGUGCACUCAUUAGCGGGCUGUGUAAAGAGUCGCGACUGGAGGAAGCAAUCUCUAUCUUUCAUGCAAUGAUGGAAAAGGGACUAAUUCCAUGUGAGGUUACUUGUGUCACCAUAGCAUACGAGUAUUGUGUGAAAAAAGGGGUUGAAGAUACCAUGGGUGUCUUGGAAAAGUUGGAGAAGAGGUUGUGGUUUCGGGUAGUGAAUAUUCUUAUUAGAAAGCUCUCUAGUGAAAGUCACGUGGAUGCUGCAAAUGGGUUUUUUCACAAGUUCUUGGAUGAAGGUGGAGCACCAAAUUCAAUCACUUUUGCGGCAUUUGCAAAUGCAUGCUACAGUAGCAACCAAUACUCAAUUGCAUCGCAAUUAUCAUCCAGAAUCGCUGCAGUGAGUUCUUAGAUGUUAGUCACUAGCACCUAGAUUUGAGCUUCCAGUCAGCGGUUGAGCCUAAGAGUUUGUUUCUUCUAUGGUUUAAAAGGGCCUGGAACCAUUUGUCUCCUUCUUGGGUAUUGUCUUUUGCCAUGGAAGUUGUCUGCUGCUGACUUUGAGAUUAUGGCAACCAGUAGCUGCAGACAGAAGAUCCAUUUUUUAGCUGAAAAUAAUUUGAUUGUAAACAUCUACUGUUUUGAUUUCCCCUCGUCUACUUCUACAUUCUUGUUUGAGUUCUUAAAGGGAAAGAAAAAGAAGGAGAAGAAGCCAGUUAAGUUUUAAAUGGAUGGAUGCUUCGAUAGGAUGUAUUCUGGCCACUGUUGUGCUUUAUGCCAGGCCCGUGCUCUUGGGGACCAGCUUGUCAUGGGUGUGCUCAGCAUUACAGAGGUGAUCGUGAACAAGGGCCCCCCUGUUAUUCCCCUCAUGGAUGAUAAUGGUGACAGCUGUGAAAUGGGUUGAUGAGGUUAUCCCAUCGGCUUUUUUUGAGAAGCGGUUGACUUAAUUACUAUAACAUAAAGUUUACAAAAUCCCUGAUUCGGCAACCCACAAACGGGGUGCUCAAAUAUACAUAAGGGUUCCAAAGUGCAAGCCUAAAAGAACCAAUAGAAAAAAGUCUCUAUCAACAGCCCACGAGAGGUAGACUGCAAGCAAAAACAAAAAGCAUCUGAGAUAGAUAAAAAAAGGAAGAGGGGGAAGAAAUAGAAUGAUAAAGAAGGAGAGAGAGGUGUCAGAGAUAGGUAGAGGUGGAGCAGAUAGAGAGAGAUAGAGAUUGGUGGGUGGAGAUAAAGAAGACGAAAGAGAAAGGUUAUCCGUGAUUCUCCUUAUGCAAUCAUGGAAUAGUUUAUGUAUUAACACUUUGAUGAAUACAAAAUUGGUUACAUCAUUCA
This is a non-coding RNA of Amborella trichopoda, 3641 nucleotides long. The record is from RefSeq and is a predicted model, not a curated record. Lineage: Eukaryota; Viridiplantae; Streptophyta; Magnoliopsida; Amborellales; Amborellaceae.